GACGAACGCUGGCGGCGUGCCUAAUACAUGCAAGUAGAACGCUGAAGGAGGAGCUUGCUCUUCUGGAUGAGUUGCGAACGGGUGAGUAACGCGUAGGUAACCUGCCUGGUAGCGGGGGAUAACUAUUGGAAACGAUAGCUAAUACCGCAUAAGAGUAGAUGUUGCAUGACAUUUACUUAAAAGGUGCAAUUGCAUCACUACCAGAUGGACCUGCGUUGUAUUAGCUAGUUGGUGGGGUAACGGCUUACCAAGGCGACGAUACAUAGCCGACCUGAGAGGGUGAUCGGCCACACUGGGACUGAGACACGGCCCAGACUCCUACGGGAGGCAGCAGUAGGGAAUCUUCGGCAAUGGACGGAAGGCUGACCGAGCAACGCCGCGUGAGUGAAGAAGGUUUUCGGAUCGUAAAGCUCUGUUGUAAGAGAAGAACGAGUGUGAGAGUGGAAAGUUCACACUGUGACGGUAUCUGACCAGAAAGGGACGGCUAACUACGUG
Molecule: ribosomal RNA, 495 nt
Filed under: uncultured bacterium
Lineage: Bacteria
Description: partial 16S ribosomal RNA
Rfam family: Bacterial small subunit ribosomal RNA
Source: RNAcentral